CUUCGGGAUCCCAGCUGACCAGCUGGGGGUGGGGCGUGGCGGAGUGGCCACGUGGGCCGCGCGGAGAACGCGCCAGGCUCAUCACCUGGAUCAUCGUGCCUCAGUUUCCCCCUCGGCAAAUGGGGCUUCAGCGGCUCGCGACGCACAUUGAUGGAGCGUAUGUCCAGGCGCCGGUGCACCGCAAGGAGCAAAACAGACACAGUUCUUGGUCCUAGGGCUCACGUCCCGGGGCGAAGAGGAUCCUCCAUAAACGAUCAGGUAAACACAUGGGUGUCAGGGAAGGCUCGCCGCUGGGAGACCGCCAAAGUGACCCGAGAUGGAGUCUGGGUGGCCUGCUUAUUAGGGGGGCACACCUGUGCGAGGACGGGAGGGGAGGGAGCAGCAGGACUGGGCAAAGGGAGAAGCUGAGCCACAGUGCGAGCCGGACGCACGGGCCACGUUGCGAGGGCAUGACCUGGGGCGAGGCAGCCCUGGAGGAGGGGGCAGCUGAAGGUGUCUGCUGACCCCACACCCAACAGCUCGGGUAACAGGCCUUACUGUCAGAGCGAUCUGGUUGCCACGUCUCUGUGGCCCUCAGAGAGACAUCAUGUUUUCUUUUUUCCCUGCACCUUUUUGUUUUGAAAAAUGUUCAGCAUACAAACAAGUUGAACGUAAAGUGAGCACGCAGAUUCCUAGGUUCAGCAGGGGUGAGCAGCUGGCCACGUUUCAUUUCUCUCCCUCUGUGUUUAUAUAUGUGUAUUUUUCUUUUUUCCUCCCCACUCAGCCCCCACCAUUAGCUGCAGAUACCGUGAUACCCCCCUCCCAAAUACUUCGGUAUCCAACUCCUUAAGAACAAGAACCUCCUAUAUUACCAAAAUACAAUGACCACAUCAGUUCAAUGCUGUUAUCUAUUUUCCAUCUCCAGUUUCCCGCGGUUGUCCCAAUAAUGCCCUUUACAGCCCUUUUGUUAUUGUUGUUUUGUUUUGCUUUGUUAAGACGGGGGUCUCUGUCACACAGGCUGGAGUGUAGUGGCACGAUCACAGCUCACUGCAGCCUUGAACUGCUGGGCUCAAGCGAUUCUCUUCCCUCACCCUCCUGAGUAGCUGGGACUACAAGAGCACACCACCACACGCUAUUUUUUUUUUGGUAGAGAUGGGUGGGGGGGGGGGUCUCACUAUGUUCCCCAAGCUGGUCUCGAACUCCUGGGCUCAAGCGAUCCACCCACUGUGGCCUCCUACAGUGCUGGGACUACAGGUGUGAAGCUCUGCCCUACAGCCCUUUUUUAAACCCCAGGAUCUAAUCAGGGAGCCACACUGUGCAUUCAGGCUAUGCACUUUUUUUGGCAGGAUAAUAUACUACAUAGAGCAUGUUUUAUCUUGUUAGAAGGCUGUCAACCUGAAAUAACCAAACAGGUCAGAAUUUAGCUUAAAGAGAGUUUAUUUAAGUGUAUAAAGUUUGAGGACAGGCUGCCUGGGAAGCACAGAUUUUAAAGAAUGGAAAUCAGUAUUUUGAACUGUAGAUGUUUGGGAUCAUUUAUGUAGACAAAUUUUAGGGAAGUUUAACAGAAUUUUAACAUCUUUUUAUGCAUAAAGUUAUAAUCUGACCAGCUGAGGUGGUCUUUUUUAGGUGGAAGGUAUAUUUAACAUUUUACACUGAAGAUGUAGGAGUCUGGUCUAAGUACGGGAUAAUAAGAGACAAUCUAUAAUAAAGAUCAGUAAUUAAAAGGGGAGCAGGCCUGGUCUGUGGUCUCUCCUAGUCAUUUAUAAAACAUGAAUGAUAAAGAAAAACAGCCUAUAAUCUAAAAGACAAAAUUACAAACAUGCUAUGUGACCCAGUUUCUAGGACUUAACUUCCCUCUUGACAUAAUAAAUUUAUUUAUUUUUAUUUAUUUAUUUAAAGACAGGAUCUUGCUCUGUUGCCCAAGUUGACCUAAUAAAUUUCAAGAGUCCUAAAAUUUUCUUUUUUAAGACAACAUAUCACUGUGCUCCAUGAUUGAUAGUGGGGCUCCGUGGUUUCUGCCAGAAGUCUCCAUUUUUCCUUUUGUUAUUAAUGAGUAAUUGGUGCAGUGAUACUUUGAGACUGUAAAUAUGCUGUUCCCAAAUGACCUUUCACCCAGUGAACUAGCAUUUAAUGAGGAAUCUUGCCUGAAUCCCUUAUUUCUUGGGACAAAGUGUUAAUUUUCUAAUUUUAUCAUUCCCUCAACAUUUAUUAAUAAAUUAUUUAUUAGCAAGCAUUCUUCUGUAGGGAUUUCCUCUUUGAUUUAUUUUUUAUCAGUAUGCCCUAAUGGAUUUAGCUGACCGAGUUAUGAUCCUUACUGUAUUGUCCUGUAUUUAGCUAACGGGAGCCCCUUCAAAUUGGCUUCUUUUUUCAUAUGACAUGUAUCUACCAUCCUUUGAGUACUUACUUAUUUUCUGGGACAACCAGAUGUUCAAGGAUCCUCCCCUUCUCUGCCCAGGCCUGGCAUCAGCCAUUGUUGGCAGGAGAUAAUUUGAGCAGAUCGUGUGGAUUUCAGAAGCAUGAAAACUACUGUGAGGAUUAAAUAAGUUAGCAUGUAUAACAUUCUGGUGCUUUUGUGGAGUUUCCAAAUUGUCAUGAACAAGCACUACUUUAUAGACAGGAAAAAAAGUGAUUCAAAAUGUGAAAACGGGUAUAUGUACAUAAGGUAAAAAUAAAAUCCUAAGCCCCCCAUUGACCAAAGGGACCUUCUCCUGACCAAGGGGACACCAGAAAAACCUCAACACUGAAUUCCCAGACAUGAUGGGAUGGGAGGUCAGAUGCGCCUGGUAAUAGCCCCCUGUUUCAGAGUUUGGACACCACAACUGGCCGGCAUUCAUGUUAAAACAGAGAUCGUAAGACUGACAGAACGGACUCUGUGGCAAUAAGAUACCAAAUUAUAAACAGGACCCAAAGCCAUGCUAGGCGAGGGUAAGUCAGGCAACCCACACUUAGAGAAUAAACUAUAUUCUAAGAGCCACAAGGCUUUCUGUUUCUCUAUUAGCCAAACACACACUAGCCUUGGGAUAGGGAAUAUUAAAACAAUUGCAGCUCCACUAGGUGCCAACUAACUGACUCUGUUUCACCAGCCAUAGCAGCUGUGAUUGGACAAGAGACUGAUUUCAGUGACUUUCUCCUAAUAAGAGACCACCGACCAGCUGACCAUGCCGACCAGCUGACCCGUUAAUAGAGAGAGAUGAUGCACCUGCAUGCCUUUGUGUCCUGAAAAGACGUUUUGCCAUAAAGGCCCUAAUUGUAAGAUGUGUAAAUGUUAAGUCUCCACCCCAAAGUGAACAUGGGUCAUAUAUUACAUGCUUUGCUCAAUAAGAGGGCAUGUGUCAGGACCACCUUCAUGAAUAUUCAUAGCUCCUCCUGUUACCUGUUGAAUAUGUAUGUUUAGCCAAUCCCUUCAGCAUAGCGCUCCUGCCCCAACCCCUCCUCCUUGGACGUGCCUGUCUCUGGCCUUGGCUGGAGACAGAUUCCCAGCCUCAGACAGAUGGCCGCCACCUUGCAGGCUACGACCGUUUACAAGAAAUAAAGCCUUCUCUUUUUCCAAAUUUGUGAAUUGUGUGUUUUUAAACUAACAUGAAUGACAGAAGGAAGGAUGGCCUCUUCAAGCAACGAUGAUGAGGCAGUUAUUUAUAUGGGGGAAAAAUGGAUUCUACCGUGGGUGGACUAAAGAGGAAAUGUGAAAAAAUAAAAAGUGAGAAACCGCUGGUAGUGAAUCGGUGCAAGCGCCCUGGAGAAGAGACUUGGCAAUAUUUAGUAAAGUCAAACAGCACGAACCCUACUACUCUGCAAAGCUGCUGCAGGAACUGGCGGAACGAGGUCACGAAGGAAACCUUGCCGGAAAGGAAAUUGCAGCAGUGCCUGUGUGCGUGCGUCUGUUGGCAAAACGCUGCUAAUAACGUCAAUGCCCAUCCGCUAUUGAAUAAACCUGCUUUACUGCCACUAUGGAAUACCAAACUGCAGAAAAAUAAUUAAAAGAACGUAUCUCAUAUUACAGGGGAAAAAAUCAAGUUGCAGAAGCACAUUCAAGUGCAGUUCCUGUAGUUUCAGAAAAGGCAAACAGUGCGCUACCUGAGCUACUUACACACGUGGUACAGGAGUGAAAGGGGCAGGAGAGGGUUCCCAAGAAUUCAGCGCCAUCCGCCCAGGGUGGCGGGAUUCCCAGCACGGAGAAUCGAUUGCUAUCGUCUGCUGUCCCGCGGGCACGAUGGAGC
This 4196-nucleotide long non-coding RNA is filed under the name Homo sapiens (human). RNAcentral's name for it is "non-protein coding lnc-NADSYN1-1:5". The record is from RNAcentral. Lineage: Eukaryota; Metazoa; Chordata; Mammalia; Primates; Hominidae.